Molecule: ribosomal RNA, 119 nt
Filed under: Sarcophilus harrisii (Tasmanian devil)
Lineage: Eukaryota; Metazoa; Chordata; Mammalia; Dasyuromorphia; Dasyuridae
Source: RNAcentral
GUCUGUGACCUUAUUACCUUGAAUGUACCUGAUCUUAUCUGAUUUCAGAAGCCAUGAAGGUUUGAGCCUCCUUAGUAUUUGGAUAAGGGACUGCCUGGGAAUAUUGGGUGCUAUAGGAU